RNAcentral lists this unclassified non-coding RNA (325 nucleotides) under fungal sp. RNAcentral's name for it is "partial internal transcribed spacer region". The record is from RNAcentral. Lineage: Eukaryota; Fungi.
AGUCGUAACAGAGUUUCCGUAAGUGAACCUGUGGAGGAUCAUUAACACGUAUUCAAACGUGAAAACCUCUCCCGUGAACAUUCAUCCUGCUCUUGUAACCCGCGAAGCUUGCAAUCCCUGGUACAAAAAAUGUAGUUUUGAUUCAGAGACAGCAGUCAGAGUCUGAAAGUGUCAUUGAUUGUGCAGGGAUAAGAUAACGCUUCACGAUGCUUGUAGACCGCAUCUCGCGGGCAAGUCUCCAUGCCCCCUUACAACCCCACAGUAUAAUAUGUAAUACAUUGGGUAAAAAACCGAACAACUGUGAACAAUGAAUAUCUUUCUUUUC